AUCACCAGCAAAUUAGAAGUAUGGGAUAGGAACAUUUGAGUCAGGAUGAAACAAAGAAGGUAAGAGGGAAGGGUUUGGGUAGAUUAAGUUUACUGUUGACCAGCAUAGACCAGAACAGGGUAUUCCUCAUUACUCCACCAUCACUAAUUCUACCCUGGCAUCCAACAUCAGCAAAUAUAUAUAAAGUUAUAAUUUACAUCAACUACAGCCAUUAAGACAAUCUGUAGUAAGUAGUAACCCUUGUAAUUAUAGAAAACAGAUCCACUGUUGCGAGAAUGUAAUGCGAACAUGUUUUCCAUCAGCAGCAUCAACACUGUGGAAGUUGCCAUACAUCUUCAAAUCCAGCAGCUAUUGCCAACCUCGUUCUUCAUUAUUCUCAGGGAAAGUGCAAAAAUUAAUCUUUCAUGACAUCAAAUACAGCCUGGCAUACUUCUGGAACAAUCAUGAGGGCAAUAGAUGAUAUCGAAAUUCUUAAUUGGUAUUGCAAGCUGGAAUAGGACUCUCCUGUAUCGAAGAAUCGUAAAGUCAAUGCCAGUC
Paramuricea clavata is the source of this 537-nucleotide non-coding RNA. NCBI's taxonomy places the organism in Eukaryota, Metazoa, Cnidaria, Anthozoa, Malacalcyonacea, Plexauridae. The record is from the annotation of a GenBank genome assembly.